This 354-nucleotide long non-coding RNA is filed under the name Trifolium pratense (red clover). RNAcentral describes it as "long non-coding RNA (TPRA_LNC006285)". Lineage: Eukaryota; Viridiplantae; Streptophyta; Magnoliopsida; Fabales; Fabaceae. The record is from RNAcentral.
GAUUGGUUGUUUUAUUUGUUUUUUUAAUUGUGUUAAAGAUGUGAUGGUGUUCGUGUUCGUUGACAUUGCGAUACUACCUUCAAACCUAUUUGGGUCUUACAUUCAGUGGGUCAUUUCUUCACCGACGCUGCAGUGGUGGGUUUUUAGUGGAUCGUCGUGCCCGGUGAGAGCUCGUUGUCGUCAUUGUUGUGUUCGUCAGUUUUUGGGUUUUCAUGUUCGCCGGAUUUUGGUCUAGUCACACUGUUGUUGUUGCGCUACUGUUCAUCUCUUUUGGCAAAAACAAUGUUGUCUCUUUUGCUGUGUUUUUUUAAAACAGCGGUGGUUUGAGUUCCUUUUGGAUCCACGUAGUCGUCG